GAAGUGCUGUCGUCACAGCAGAGGACAGGAUACGGUGAUAAGGGAAGAGGGACCCCUCCCUGCCUGCCUCGGUUUCCUGAGAAGAGCCUGGCUGUCUGCCACCAAAACCCCACCCUGAACCCAGCACCCCCACCCCAAACUCUGAACCACUGAGCAGAGAGAUGAUGGGAAGAAGCGAAGAGACUUGGAGAAGUUGGAUGUACCCUCCUGCAGUCCAGGGUGCAAAGUGUCUUCAUAUGCUGGAUUAAAUAAUUCAAACACACAUGCUUUAAAUCACCCUGCACAUUCUGUUUCUCUGUGCAGGCUGCUCGCCGCGGCCCUCGCCCUUGUUUUGCUAAACCUCGCUGUUCAUUGAGGCGGAGACUAAUUAGAAACAGCCCAAUGAAAUUCCAGCUGUCAUUUCUACACUCAUCCGUCCUCUUUGCAAAAACUGUUACGUAACCGGGGGCCCGACGCUCCAAACAGAUGCUGGAGCUCGUUUCUGUCUUUGUCCCACUCACAGAUCCGCCUCCCAUGUUUCCACCAAUCCUUACGUAAGCUUUGUUUAUCCUCCGCCUGAAUUUUUCAGCAGAAAAACGACAGGUUGAAGAAGAAACACUCAGCUCCAAGUGCUGCUUAAUGUUCCUCUUCCCUCCUAAAACGACACUUCAUCUCAUGAUGCUGCCUGCAGCUGAAGUCUGCUCGGCAACAGAGCGGCGCUGCACGGUAACCAGGACAGAUGUGCUAUUUACUUCACUCUGAGCUGACACACUUUUGAACUCAUGACUGACAUACUGAGUGAAAUUAUUCAUACACUGGGUAGAGGAUAAACGGCUGUAUGUU
Molecule: non-coding RNA, 822 nt
Organism: Labrus bergylta (ballan wrasse)
Lineage: Eukaryota; Metazoa; Chordata; Actinopteri; Labriformes; Labridae
Source: RefSeq, a predicted model, not a curated record